RNAcentral lists this ribosomal RNA (496 nucleotides) under uncultured bacterium. RNAcentral describes it as "partial 16S ribosomal RNA". It matches the Rfam family "Bacterial small subunit ribosomal RNA", at positions 30 to 523 of the family's 1533-position model. The record is from RNAcentral.
AUUGAACGCUGGCGGAAUGCUUUACACAUGCAAGUCGAACGGUAGAGGGGGCAACCCCUCGAGAGUGGCGAACGGGUGAGUAAUAUAUCGGAACGUGCCCAGUCGUGGGGGAUAACGUAGCGAAAGUUACGCUAAUACCGCAUACGAUCUAAGGAUGAAAGCGGGGGAUCGCAAGACCUCGCGCGAUUGGAGCGGCCGAUAUCAGAUUAGGUAGUUGGUGGGGUAAAGGCUCACCAAGCAAACGGUCUGUAGCUGGUCUGAGAGGAGGACCAGCAACACCGGAACUAAGACACGGACCAGACGACUACGGGAGACAGCAGUGGGGAAUUUUUGAAAAUGGACGCAAGUCUGAUCCAGCCAUUCCGCGUGCAGGAUGAAGGCCCUCGGGUUGUAAACUGCUUUUGUACGGAACGAAAAGGUCUCUCUUAAUACGGGGGACUCAUGACGGUACCGUAAGAAUAAGCACCGGCCAACUACGUGCCAGCCGCCGCAGUAA